This 252-nucleotide ribosomal RNA is filed under the name uncultured bacterium. RNAcentral's name for it is "partial 16S ribosomal RNA". It matches the Rfam family "Bacterial small subunit ribosomal RNA", at positions 100 to 354 of the family's 1533-position model. The record is from RNAcentral.
CGGGGUGAGUAACGCGUGGAAAACCUGCCGUAUACUGGAGGAUAACACUUAGAAAUAGGUGCUAAUACCGCAUAAGCGCACAGCUUCGCAUGAAGUGGUGUGAAAAACUCUGGUGGUAUACGAUGGUUCCGCGUCUGAUUAGCUUGUUGGUGGGGUAAUGGCUCACCAAGGCGACGAUCAGUAGCCGGCCUGAGAGGGUGAACGGCCACAUUGGGACUGAGACACGGCCCAAACUCCUACGGAAGGCAGCAG